This 3371-nucleotide long non-coding RNA is filed under the name Nicotiana tabacum (common tobacco). RNAcentral describes it as "long non-coding RNA (NTAB_LNC010188)". Lineage: Eukaryota; Viridiplantae; Streptophyta; Magnoliopsida; Solanales; Solanaceae. The record is from RNAcentral.
CUGGGCUCGAUUCUGACAGAAAAAUUUUUUCAACAGAAGGAAAUUGCAGCAGCUGUUCUAGUUCAAUUUUUUGAUCUGUUAACCAUCCGAAACUCAUCCGAGGCCCUCAAGACCUCAACCAAAUAUACCAACAAGUCCUAAAAUAUCAUACGAACUUAGUCGAAUCCUCAAAUCACCUCAAACAACGCUAAAACCAUGAAUUACACCCCAAUUCAAGCCUAAUGAACUUUGAAAUUUCCAAUUUCUACAAACAACUCCGGAACCUAUCAAAUCACGUUCGAUUGACCUCAAAUUUUGCACACAAGUCCUAAAUGACAUAACAGAGGUAUUUCAAUUUUCAGAAUCGGAUUCUGACCCCGAUAUCAAAAAGUCAACCCCCGGUCAAACUUCUCAAAAAUUAAACUUUCGGCAUUUCAAGCCUAAUUCCUCUACGGACCUCCAAAUAAUAUUUCGGACAUGUUCCUAAGCCCAAAAUCACCAUACGGAGAUAUUGGAAUUAUCAAAAUUCAAAUCCGAGGUCGUUUACACAUAGGUCCAUAUCCGGUCCACUUUUCUAACUCAAAUUUUUAAUUAUGAGACUAAGUGUCUCAUUUCACUCCGAGUUCCUUCCGGACUCGAACCAACUAAUCCGAUAUAACAUAAUAUAGCUGAAUAACCCAAAAAAAAGUAGGAAUAGGGAAAACGGGAUUAUAACAACGACCGGCCGGAUCGUUACACAGAUUGACUGUGUUACAAAUGACAAUUUGAUUAUCAGUGUCUACAACUACUUGAAUGAGCCUUUCCUCAUUUCUUGGUAUGACUUAUAAUCAAAGUGUAUUCCUUUUUUCUUUCUUAAUCCCCUGUUAAUGUUAUUCAGGUAAAGAAAAGAUGCAAUAUGUUGGAUAUUAAGCAAUGUGAUUGACAUUGUAUGGAUAUAUACAAAAAACUUUUUAUUUUGAUACAGAUCUAUUCAAUAUUUUUCCUCCUAUAUACGUUCAUGAACAAUGAAAUGUCUCUGAUAAAACAUUUUCAUCUCAAAUGUUUCUCCAAAAACAAUGUUCGCGUUUGUUCCUCAUUUUUUUGGACAUUGUAUUUUUUGUUAUUCCUAAUAUGAGUGUAUAAUAGUGUAGAAAAGUGCACAAUAUUGUUCUACUCCCUCAUUCUGUUACUUUAGCUAUGACAGAAAAUUACACAAUAUUCUAUAAUAAAGUGUGUCUAUAUUGUAAUAUAAUCUACAGAGAAUUAAGUCGAAUGUCACGUUUGUAGUAAUCUAAGUGGUAUACUUUUAUAACUUACGUUGUGUUUCCGAAGUUAGUUGUGAAACUGCAAUUCUGAUUGUCAUGUGCAUUCCUUUAUGUUUAAUACAAUUAUUCUAACAGAGUAAAAUGAUGUAGAAGUUUUUAAUGCCUUGUUGUAUCGUCAUAUUAAGAUUGAAUAACCGGAAGUGAAAUCCUUGUAGCUGAAAGUUAGGGAUGAAUAAUCAUCUUUAUUUUGUAGAAGUUUUCUCCUUAUAAUCUCAAACUGCAUUAUGUCUAACAAUCUUUGAUAUGACAUAAAGGUUUUGAUAGGGGAAUCCUGUGAUACUUCUCCCAUUUUGAAAUAGUUAUGGAAUUUUAAAUACUAUAUAUGUCAAUGAUUGGUGAGACAACAAGAAUCAGCAAGCUAUAACCAGGUUGUUACAAGCACUGCUGGUUAAUACAAUCUUGUACAAGUUGUUCUAUCUCCUGGUAAAUACUCUUUAGUAUGACUAUAUAUUUAAUACUUGUUAAGUCUCUGUUAACUUGUAUCAUGUAUGUGUUUGUGAUUUAUCAUCCCUAGUUGGAAAGUCAUCCGUUGUCAAAAUUCAAUAGGAAAUGCAUAAUUGUUGUUCUCAGACAUUGAUAUUAUUCUUUGCUAAUUUAUUUCUUGAUUUCUAUAGAUUGGAAUUUACUAAUAUAAUCUGACUUGCUAAUUUAUUUCACAACUGAUUGUUUCCUGAAGAAAGGCGUGUUCCUUACAGUUUAUUUCUCUUUUCUCUUAUUCAGAUUGUUUCAUGUUCUGGUUUUAAAUUACAACAAAUACUGUCAAAUGCUUUGUCCAACAAUUAUUGCGGUAACUUGACAAGUUACGACAACCAGUGUAUCAAUGUCUAUCAUACAUAGUUUAUGUGCAUCUCUUUCAGCAGACAGUUGAAAGAGUUCCAUCUGUAAGUGUUGUGUUAUGUCGUCCGCUUGCACUUUAUCCAUUCUCUUCCUGCAGUUUCUGAUUCUAUCAACAAAUCAUGUCUUAUAUGUUAGCUUAUAAUGUUUUGUGGUCUUGGUUAUAGUGAUGUUCAUGUCUGAUGUGAUUGAAUAAGCUACUUGAGACCAUAUUUGGUUUCCACCAUUUAUGGCAAGGAUUCAGGUAAGCAUCUUUGUAAGUCUCAAUUUAAACAAUCCAAGCCUUCUUAUUGCAUUUGGAUGUUCAUUUAAGCUUACCAUAAGUGGUAUAAGCUAGCUUCCCUUCUUUCUAACAUGAUUGAAAUUAGUCUUUCAAAAAGAAAACAAUUAAGAAAACAGGAAUAAGAAAGCUGUUGUUUGCUAAUAAAGUAAGUUGUUGUUUGCUAAUAAGUGGUAUAAGCUAUAUAAGAGUGAGUACACAGUUUGCUAAUAAGUGGUAUAAGAGUGAGUAUAGGUGGUAUAAUGUGCUGUUUGCUAAUAAAGUUUAGAUGAAUAAUACAGUUAGAUAUGCAUUGUAUCGUAUCCUUCUUUAUUUUCAUAUAUUUUGUAGAUAUACAUCGAGGGAGAGACCGAGGUAGUGCAGUAUCUGUGGAUCGCGGACACUUCUUACUAUUUCUCCCACUUGGUUAGUCCAUGCUUGUACUGUUAUUUUUGAUAUAUGUUAUUGUUAUUUGCACAUCUUAAUGGGCUAACAAUGCGGAAACCCUUCAAGGCUUGAUUGAAGAAGUGGCUUAUUCCCACAUAUAUUGAGUAUGAUAAGGUUGGCAACGCAUAUGGUGUGAGGUUGUAUCAGUUUUCAACCUUUUCUUCUGUAUUGAGACAAAAAUGCAUUAACUCUUUAUGCGAUUGUUUUUGUGAAAGUAGGAAAAAGUCUCAAAAUUUAGGUGCUGGACAGUGAAUAAUGUCACAACAUCUACUGCAUUCAUAUUCUUAACUUGAAGUUUAUACUUGGAGAUGCUUCAAAAGUUUAAAUUAUCCUCUAGAAUAUGUUCCAUUUGUACUUGUUUUCUUUUUAAAUGGAAAUGAUGUGUGUCACUGGAGGUUGGAAGCCUAGUUGCUUCCUGUUUAGAUAUAAAGAUAAAACUCGUUUUGGUUCCUGGAACAUUUAUAGGGAGAGGCAAUGUUAUAUUCAGAUAAACAAGUAGACAAAUGAAGUUGGAAUUUUCCACUAGCCUAUUCAAAAAGUUAUAGAAG